Molecule: ribosomal RNA, 530 nt
Filed under: Aspergillus fischeri
Lineage: Eukaryota; Fungi; Ascomycota; Eurotiomycetes; Eurotiales; Aspergillaceae
Description: eukaryotic LSU rRNA
Rfam family: 5.8S ribosomal RNA (bases 163-316)
Source: RNAcentral
CACCUCCCACCCGUGUCUAUCGUACCUUGUUGCUUCGGCGGGCCCGCCGUUUCKACGGCCGCCGGGGAGGCCUCGCGCCCCCGGGCCCGCGCCCGCCGAAGACCCCAACAUGAACGCUGUUCUGAAAGUAUGCAGUCUGAGUUGAUUAUCAUAAUCAGUUAAAACUUUCAACAACGGAUCUCUUGGUUCCGGCAUCGAUGAAGAACGCAGCGAAAUGCGAUAAGUAAUGUGAAUUGCAGAAUUCAGUGAAUCAUCGAGUCUUUGAACGCACAUUGCGCCCCCUGGUAUUCCGGGGGGCAUGCCUGUCCGAGCGUCAUUGCUGCCCUCAAGCACGGCUUGUGUGUUGGGCCCCCGUCCCCUCUCCCGGGGACGGGCCCGAAAGGCAGCGGCGGCACCGCGUCCGGUCCUCGAGCGUAUGGGGCUUUGUCACCCGCUCUGUAGGCCCGGCCGGCGCCAGCCGACACCCAACUUUAUUUCUAAGGUUGACCUCGGAUCAGGUAGGGAUACCCGCUGAACUUAAGCAUAUCAAU